AGAGUUUGAUCCUGGCUCAGAAUCAACGCUGGCGGCGUGCCUCAUACAUGCAAGUCGAACGCGAAAGCGGCCUUCGGGCCGCGAGUAGAGCGGCAGACGGCUGAGUAACGCGUGAGUAACUUGCCCUCCGGUGGGGUAUACACUCGGGAAACUGAGGAUAAUCCCGCAUACGACCCGGUCCCCUUGGGGAUCAGGUGAAAGGCUUCGGUCGCCGGAGGAGAGGCUCGCGUCCUAUCAGGUAGUUGGUGGGGUAAAAGCCUACCAAGCCGAUGACGGGUAGCUGGUCUGAGAGGAUGACCAGCCAGAGGGGGACUGAGACACGGCCCCCACUCCUACGGGAGGCAGCAGCAGGGAAUCUUGGGCAAUGGGCGAAAGCCUGACCCAGCGACGUCGCGUGGAGGACGAAGGCCUUCGGGUUGUAAACUCCUUUUCCGAGGGAAGAUUUCGGACGGUACCUCGGGAAUAAGCCCCGGCUAACUACGUGCCAGCAGCCGCGGUAAUACGUAGGGGGCAAGCGUUACCCGGAAUUACUGGGCGUAAAGUGCGCGUAGGCGGUUGGAUAAGUCUCUUGUGAAAGCUCCCGGCUCAACUGGGAGAGGUCAAGGGAUACUAUUCGACUAGAGGACAGCAGAGGUAAGCGGAAUUCCCGGUGUAGCGGUGGAAUGCGUAGAUAUCGGGAGGAACACCAGCGGCGAAAGCGGCUUACUGGGCUGUAGCUGACGCUGAGGCGCGAGAGCGUGGGGAGCAAACUGGAUUAGAUACCCAGGUAGUCCACGCCCUAAACGAUGGAUACUAGGUAUGGGGGGUAUUGACCCCCUCCGUGCCGUAGCUAACGCGUUAAGUAUCCCGCCGGGGGACUACGGCCGCAAGGCUAAAACUCAAAGGAAUUGACGGGGGCCCGCACAAGCGGUGGGGCGUGUGGUUUAAUUCGAUGCUAAGCGAAGAACCUUACCUGGGCUUGACAUGUUGGUAGUAGGAACCCGAAAGGGUAACGACCUCGGGGUAACUCGGGGAGCCUUCACAGGUGCUGCAUGGCUGUCGUCAGCUCGUG
This 1051-nucleotide ribosomal RNA is filed under the name uncultured bacterium. RNAcentral describes it as "bacterial SSU rRNA". It matches the Rfam family "Bacterial small subunit ribosomal RNA", at positions 8 to 1064 of the family's 1533-position model. The record is from RNAcentral.